Vicugna pacos (alpaca) is the source of this 880-nucleotide non-coding RNA. The record is from RefSeq and is a predicted model, not a curated record. NCBI's taxonomy places the organism in Eukaryota, Metazoa, Chordata, Mammalia, Artiodactyla, Camelidae.
GGAAGAGGUGUGAGCAGCCAGACAGGGAAAUACAUCAAAGAUCAGGGAAGAGGACACCCUGCAGGGGAGCAGGGAAGGAGGAUAUUCUAAGGAACAUGAAAAUGGACCUUGAGAUAGAAAGUCAACUUUUUGAUGGUGCCCAUGACAGAGGGCACCCAAGAGUCACAUUAAAACAAACAAACAAAAAAUGAGUAAAUAAAAACUUGACACAUAAAGCAUUUGUAUUUCUUUUUCCAAGUCCUUCUUCCCAUGCUCCCAAUCCUAGACAGUCAGAAGCAUAAGAGGGGUGGUGGAAGAAAUAGAAUGUUAACUGGAUAAAAAAUAAAAUCAAGAUCAUGCCUCUCUCUCCCACAGGCAAGUCUACACACCAUCCAUCAGGCCUGAGCAGAGCAGGAGGGGAAGAGCAGGAAGUGAGGCUGAAGUUGAAUCUUGGCCUUGGCGAGCCCUGGGUAUAGUAACAGUAGACGGAGGUCGGGUCAGGAGGCGCUCCAGAGGCAGGGGCAGGUUUCAGCACUGACAGCGCAGCUGCAGGGAUCUUGGAGGCAACGCCUGGCAGAGCUUCUGGGUCUUGCUGCCCCAGCGAUGGCUGCAGUACCUGGGACUUGUCCCUCUGGCCCUGCUCCCAACGUCCGAUCCAGCCCAUUGGACUUGUACACCUGCUUCUUCUCUGACCUCUGGAUUCGUGAAAGAUAAUCUCAGGACACCGUCAGCUCAACAGUUACGGAACUACUAUAGUCGUGUCUUCAGGAAUUGCUUGCUUUUUAAGGAUGAAAUGGUGGAGGCAAACACUGUUUAACAGGUGAGCCUCCUGUGGCAAUAUUUGGAGUUGCACCCUGGUGGAUUUGGAUUACAGACAGCCCAUACGAUGUCUCAUCCAACA